Molecule: long non-coding RNA, 753 nt
Organism: Mirounga angustirostris (Northern elephant seal)
Lineage: Eukaryota; Metazoa; Chordata; Mammalia; Carnivora; Phocidae
Exons: 3
Source: RefSeq, a predicted model, not a curated record
AAGGGCCCUACAUACUUUUGCCUUCAUGGGCCUCUUCGUUUAUGAAAUUUUUAAAAAUUCUAUAUAGAACUGCAUAGAUAUAAAGAUGAAUAAAAGUCAGGCUGGACUCAUUAUCAUAUAUUCAUAUAUUCAUUAUUAUUAUACUCAUUUUUUCCUACUUUAAAAUAAAUUAAAGCAUGUUCUCGGGCCUCUAAGGGGCCUAAUGGAGAAGUCAUCCUGUUACCAGCUUAGGAAGAGUCUUGAGUGCCAUGAUUAGACGUGACUGGACUUUUCUUCAUCAGCCAUUGUUCAACUAAGAACUCUGUGAUUAGACUGUGUUGACCCUGUGUUAGCCCUAGUUGAGAGUGUGAAGAGAAGGCCAAAGAAUGGAAUUUUUGGACGGGGGAGAAGCUGAUCACCAUGACUGAGGUGGGACAUCAAUAGGACCUCCAUAAGAACAGCUGAAAAAGUUGGCGAACACUGCUCCAGGCUGUGGGGGAGAAUCGCAGGGGACUUGGUGAAAAACUGGUAUUUCUUGAGAUGGAGCCAUCAUCAGCCUGUGCAGGCGGCCCUAGAGCUCUUCAAGGUCAUAAUUUAAGGCCAACUCAUACAUACAAGGUAAGUGAUGGAGCGCUCUGAUCUCACUAACUGUGGACAGGACGCCAUGCUUCACUACUGUCCUUGGUAGGUCACAUCUGUGGCCUGGAUUCACGAAGCUUGAUUUAUAGCCCUUCAGCCACAAGCCGUAGGUUACUCCUCCUAACUCUUCCAUGU